RNAcentral lists this ribosomal RNA (253 nucleotides) under uncultured bacterium. Its description in RNAcentral is "partial 16S ribosomal RNA". It matches the Rfam family "Bacterial small subunit ribosomal RNA", at positions 524 to 776 of the family's 1533-position model. The record is from RNAcentral.
UACGGAGGAUCCAAGCGUUAUCCGGAUUUAUUGGGCUUAAAGGGCGCGUAGGUGGCCUGUUAAGUCAGGGGUGAAAGACGGUAGCUCAACUAUCGCAGUGCCCUUGAUACUGAUGGGCUUGAAUGAACUAGAGGUAGGCGGAAUGUGACAAGUAGCGGUGAAAUGCAUAGAUAUGUCACAGAACACCAAUUGCGAAGGCAGCUUACUAUGGUUUUAUUGACACUGAGGCACGAAAGCGUGGGGAUCAAACAGG